Molecule: ribosomal RNA, 496 nt
Filed under: uncultured bacterium
Lineage: Bacteria
Description: partial 16S ribosomal RNA
Rfam family: Bacterial small subunit ribosomal RNA
Source: RNAcentral
GAUGAACGCUGGCGGCGUGCCUAAUACAUGCAAGUCGAGCGAACAGACGAGGAGCUUGCUCCUCUGACGUUAGCGGCGGACGGGUGAGUAACACGUGGAUAACCUACCUAUAAGACUGGGAUAACUUCGGGAAACCGGAGCUAAUACCGGAUAAUAUAUUGAACCGCAUGGUUCAAUAGUGAAAGACGGUUUUGCUGUCACUUAUAGAUGGAUCCGCGCCGCAUUAGCUAGUUGGUAAGGUAACGGCUUACCAAGGCAACGAUGCGUAGCCGACCUGAGAGGGUGAUCGGCCACACUGGAACUGAGACACGGUCCAGACUCCAACGGGAGGCAGCAGUAGGGAAUCUUCCGCAAUGGGCGAAAGCCUGACGGAGCAACGCCGCGUGAGUGAUGAAGGUCUUCGGAUCGUAAAACUCUGUUAUUAGGGAAGAACAAAUGUGUAAGUAACGAUGCACGUCUUGACGGUACCUAAGCAGAAAGCCACGGCUAACUACGU